This 496-nucleotide ribosomal RNA is filed under the name uncultured bacterium. Its description in RNAcentral is "bacterial SSU rRNA". It matches the Rfam family "Bacterial small subunit ribosomal RNA", at positions 28 to 521 of the family's 1533-position model. The record is from RNAcentral.
GAUGAACGCUAGCGGCAGGCUUAAUACAUGCAAGUCGUGGGGCAGCAGGGGUAGCAAUACUCGCUGGCGACCGGCAAACGGGUGCGGAACACGUACGCAACCUUCCCAAAACUGGUGAAUAGCCCUCCGAAAGGAGGAUUAAUACACCGUAACAUAAUGAGAAGGCAUCAUUUUAUUAUUAUAGCUCAGGCGGUUUUGGAUGGGCGUGCGCCUGAUUAGGUAGUUGGCGGGGUAACGGCCCACCAAGCCUGCGAUCAGUAACUGGUGUGAGAGCACGACCAGUCACACGGGCACUGAGAUACGGGCCAGACUCCUACGGGAGCAGCAGUAGGGAAUAUUGGACAAUGGGUGCAAGCCUGAUCCAGCCAUGCCGCGUGCAGGAAGAAGGCCUUCUGGGUUGUAAACUGCUUUUGCCAGGGGAUAAAAAGCCCUUAGCGAGGGAAAUUGAAGGUACUGGUGAAUAAGCCACGGCUAACUACGUGCCAGCAGCCGCGGU